GUGGGGAAUCUUGCGCAAUGGGCGAAAGCCUGACGCAGCCAUGCCGCGUGAAUGAUGAAGGUCUUAGGAUUGUAAAAUUCUUUCACCGGGGACGAUAAUGACGGUACCCGGAGAAGAAGCUCCGGCUAACUUCGUGCCAGCAGCCGCGGUAAUACGAAGGGGGCUAGCGUUGCUCGGAAUUACUGGUCGUAAAGGGCGCGUAGGCGGACAGCUUAGUCAGAGGUGAACGCCCAGGGCUCAACCUUGGAAUUGCCUUUGAUACUGGCUGUCUUGAGUGUGGGAGAGGUGAGUGGAACUCCGAGUGUAGAGGUGAAAUUCGUAGAUAUUCGGAAGAACACCAGUGGCGAAGGCGACUCACUGGCCCAAUACUGACGCUGAGGCGCGAAAGCGUGGGGAGCAAACAGGAUUAGAUACCCCUGUAGUCC
This 425-nucleotide ribosomal RNA is filed under the name uncultured bacterium. Its description in RNAcentral is "partial 16S ribosomal RNA". It matches the Rfam family "Bacterial small subunit ribosomal RNA", at positions 354 to 796 of the family's 1533-position model. The record is from RNAcentral.